RNAcentral lists this small RNA (86 nucleotides) under Prolemur simus (greater bamboo lemur). RNAcentral's name for it is "Y RNA (ENSPSMG00000022565.1)". It matches the Rfam family "Y RNA", at positions 7 to 86 of the family's 96-position model. From Rfam's summary of the family: Y RNAs are components of the Ro ribonucleoprotein particle (Ro RNP), in association with Ro60 and La proteins. The record is from Rfam by way of RNAcentral. Lineage: Eukaryota; Metazoa; Chordata; Mammalia; Primates; Lemuridae.
UCCGAGUGCAGUGGUAUUUCCAAAUUAUUGAUUACAACCGGUUACAGAAUCCUUUGUUCCUUCUCCACUCCCAUUGCUUCACUUGA